RNAcentral lists this transfer RNA (78 nucleotides) under Anguilla anguilla (European eel). Its description in RNAcentral is "tRNA-OTHER". Lineage: Eukaryota; Metazoa; Chordata; Actinopteri; Anguilliformes; Anguillidae. The record is from RNAcentral.
GGCGGUGUAGUAUAAUGGGUAAGGGGUUGGUCUUGUAAUCUAACGGUCGCAGGUUCAAUUCCCGUUAGGACAUUGCCG